ACCUGCGGAAGGAUUUAUUUUCAGUAGUCGCCCGGGUUGCCGCAAGGCCUCCCGGGUAACCUACCACCCUUUGUUUAUUACACUUUGUUGCUUUGGCAAGCCUGCCCUCGGGCUGCUGGCUCCGGCCGGCGAGCGCUUGCCAGAGGACCUAAACUCUGUUUGUCUAUACUGUCUGAGUACUAUAUAAUAGUUAAAACUUUCAACAACGGAUCUCUUGGUUCUGGCAUCGAUGAAGAACGCAGCGAAAUGCGAUAAGUAAUGUGAAUUGCAGAAUUCAGUGAAUCAUCGAAUCUUUGAACGCACAUUGCGCCCCCUGGUAUUCCGGGGGGCAUGCCUGUCCGAGCGUCAUUACAACCCUCAAGCUCAGCUUGGUGUUGGGCCCCGCCGCCCCGGCGGGCCCUAAAGUCAGUGGCGGUGCCGUCCGGCUCCGAGCGUAGUAAUUCUUCUCGCUCUGGAGGUCCGGUCGUGUGCUCGCCAGCAACCCCCAAUUUUUUUCAGGUUGACCUCGGAUCAGGUAGGGAUACCCGCUGAACUUAAGCAUAUCAAUAA
Molecule: ribosomal RNA, 549 nt
Filed under: Onygenales sp. 7R125-1
Lineage: Eukaryota; Fungi; Ascomycota; Eurotiomycetes; Onygenales
Description: eukaryotic LSU rRNA
Rfam family: 5.8S ribosomal RNA (bases 195-348)
Source: RNAcentral